AUUGAACGCUGGCGGCAGGCCUAACACAUGCAAGUCGAACGAGUGGCGGACGGGUGAGUAAUGUCUGGGAAACUGCCUGAUGGAGGGGGAUAACUACUGGAAACGGUAGCUAAUACCGCAUACUAUCAGAUGUGCCCAGAUGGGAUUAGCUUGUUGGUUGGGUAACGGCUCACCAAGGAGACGAUCCCUAGCUGGUCUGAGAGGAUGACCGGCAACACGGGAACUGAGACACGGUCCAGACUCCUACGUGAGGCAGAAGUGGGGAUUAUUGCACAAUGGGCGCAGGCCUGAUGCGGCAAUGCCGCGUGUAUGAAGAAGGCCUUCGGGUGGUAAAGUACUUUCAGCGGGAAGGCGUUACCCGCAGAGGAAGCACCGGCUAACUCCGUGCCAGCAGCCGCGGUAAUAC
This 406-nucleotide ribosomal RNA is filed under the name uncultured bacterium. RNAcentral describes it as "partial 16S ribosomal RNA". It matches the Rfam family "Bacterial small subunit ribosomal RNA", at positions 30 to 526 of the family's 1533-position model. The record is from RNAcentral.